AAGACCUUGCGCUUUUGGAGCGGCCGAUGCCUGAUUAGCUUGUUGGUAAGGUAAAGGCUUACCAAGGCUUCGAUCAGUAGCUGGUCUGAGAGGACGGCCAGCCACACUGGGACUGAGACACGGCCCAGACUCCUACGGGAGGCAGCAGUGGGGAAUUUUGGACAAUGGGGGAAACCCUGAUCCAGCCAUGCCGCGUGAGUGAGGAAGGCCUUCGGGUUGUAAAGCUCUUUCAGCCGGAACGAAACGGUUACGGAUAAUACCCGUGACUACUGACGGUACCGGAAGAAGAAGCACCGGCUAACUACGUGCCAGCAGCCGCGGUAAUACGUAGGGUGCGAGCGUUAAUCGGAAUUACUGGGCGUAAAGCGUGCGCAGGUGGUUUUGUAAGUCAGAUGUGAAAGCCCCGGGCUCAACCUGGGAACU
This 423-nucleotide ribosomal RNA is filed under the name uncultured bacterium. RNAcentral describes it as "bacterial SSU rRNA". It matches the Rfam family "Bacterial small subunit ribosomal RNA", at positions 207 to 622 of the family's 1533-position model. The record is from RNAcentral.